GCCGAUGUAACUCAGUUGGUAGAGUAGCGGUUUUGUAAACCGCCUGUCGGGGGUUCGAGUCCCUUCAUCGGCU
Molecule: transfer RNA, 73 nt
Filed under: Bacteroidetes bacterium GWE2_42_42
Lineage: Bacteria; Pseudomonadati; Bacteroidota
Also listed under: 3 other names
Description: tRNA-Thr
Rfam family: tRNA
About the family: Transfer RNA (tRNA) molecules are approximately 80 nucleotides in length. Their secondary structure includes four short double-helical elements and three loops (D, anti-codon, and T loops).
Source: RNAcentral